Molecule: non-coding RNA, 530 nt
Filed under: fungal sp. R38
Lineage: Eukaryota; Fungi
Also listed under: 1 other name
Description: eukaryotic LSU rRNA
Rfam family: 5.8S ribosomal RNA (bases 186-339)
Source: RNAcentral
AGGGAUCAUUACAGGACUCGCAAGACUCCUACAACCCUGUGAACUUCACUACAAGCACGUUGCUUCGGCGGGUGUCUCGGCGGAGGUCCCUUCCGGGGGACCUGCGCAGGGGCGCGAAGCCCGCCGGCAGCCUACUAUACUCUGUCUCUUUGCGUUGGCAUCUCGAGAAAAAGCAAACAAGUUAAAACUUUCAACAACGGAUCUCUUGGUUCUGGCAUCGAUGAAGAACGCAGCGAAAUGCGAUAAGUAAUGCGAAUUGCAGAAUUCCGUGAGUCAUCGAAUCUUUGAACGCACAUUGCGCCCGCCAGCAUUCUGGCGGGCAUGCCUGUUCGAGCGUCAUUUCAACCCUCAGGCCCUGCCUGGCGUUGGAGGACUGCGCACCGCAGCCUCCCAAAGCGAGCGGCGGCGGCGCCCCGAAACCGAACGCAGUAGUUUUCUCUCGUUCUGGGUCCGGGUCGUUGUCCUGCCGGAAAACCCCCAUCUAUACAAUGGUUGACCUCGAAUCAGGUAGGAAUACCCGCUGAACUUAA